Molecule: microRNA, 19 nt
Filed under: Sphaeroforma napiecek
Lineage: Eukaryota; Ichthyosporea; Ichthyophonida
Description: Sna-Mir-Nov-5_star
Source: RNAcentral
CGGGCGAAGGUUUCAUGAU